This 72-nucleotide transfer RNA is filed under the name Plasmopara halstedii. It matches the Rfam family "tRNA". From Rfam's summary of the family: Transfer RNA (tRNA) molecules are approximately 80 nucleotides in length. Their secondary structure includes four short double-helical elements and three loops (D, anti-codon, and T loops). The record is from Rfam by way of RNAcentral. Lineage: Eukaryota; Oomycota; Peronosporomycetes; Peronosporales; Peronosporaceae.
GCGCGGGUAGCUCAGUAGUAGAGCGUUCGAUUGCAGAUCGAUUGGUCACUGGUUCAAUCUCGAUCUCGCGCU